UAAAAAAUAAAUAAAAAAAAAUUAUAACCCCCAACUGGCCCUCACUAUGCCAGUUUUCCUUGCUUUAUUCUUCUUCAUAGGACUCACCACCAUCUGAUAGAAUACACUGUUUACCUAUUUACAUAGUCUGUCUUCCCCAAUUAGAAUGUAGGCCUCAAGAAGGAGGAAUUUUUGACUGCUUGGAUCAUAACAUUUCCCUAGUACCUGAAAUGGUGCUAAAUACAAACCAUACAGGAAAUACUUAUUGAAUAUAUCAAUAUACCAUGUUGGUAGACAUGUAAAUUGGUUUACUUCUUUUGAGAACAGUGUGCCUAUUUCUAUCAAAUCUAUAAAUAAACUUAACUUUGACCCAGCAUUUCUACUUAAGAGUAAAUUAGGAUGUAACUGUAUCUGCACAUCUCUGCAAAGCAAUAUAAACAAGUAUAUUCACUUGCAUCUUCACUCACACAAGUCUGGAAACAACCUAAAUGUCCGUUAGAGACAGGUUAAAUGAAUUAAGUGUUGAUGGAGAAAAGAAGAAAACUAUGUACACGAUAGAAUACAUACCACCAUUUAAAUGAAAAGACUGAGUGCUUAUAUAUACUUGUAUUUGCACCACAGAUACAUUAAUAUAUGCUUGUUUAUUCACAGACUGCCUCAAGAAGAAUCCAUGUGAAACUCUUAAGUGACUGCAGCUUUGAAAAAGAACUACAGGACCAAGGAGUUUGUCUUCGUGCUUCAACAGAGGAUCACAUCCAGCCUGAUCAGUCCACAACCUGCUACUGGGGAAAUGACACAGCACUAGAAUGUUAAUGCUGGAGCCAAAGUUCUCUCCUAGAACUCGGCUGAGCCCUGGGGCCUCCCGAACCUUCUGAAGGAUGAGGACGGUGCAAUCUCCAGGAAUGCACAAGGAAGUGACCCUGUGAAAAAGAAUAAAGUAAUAACUUUUUGCCUUAAGAGAUUAAAGCACAUACAACUAUA
This is a non-coding RNA of Odocoileus virginianus texanus, 960 nucleotides long. The record is from RefSeq and is a predicted model, not a curated record. Lineage: Eukaryota; Metazoa; Chordata; Mammalia; Artiodactyla; Cervidae.